This 223-nucleotide unclassified non-coding RNA is filed under the name Rhizophagus sp. (in: glomeromycetes). RNAcentral describes it as "partial contains 5.8S ribosomal RNA and internal transcribed spacer 2". The stretch from base 1 to 65 matches the Rfam family "5.8S ribosomal RNA", at positions 84 to 154 of the family's 154-position model. The record is from RNAcentral. Lineage: Eukaryota; Fungi; Glomeromycota; Glomeromycetes; Glomerales; Glomeraceae.
GUGAAUCAUCGAAUCUUUGAACGCAAAUUGCACUCUCUUCGGAGAGUAUGCCUGUUUGAGGGUCAGUAUUAAUAAAAAUCGUUGUGUUGCUUCGUUGUAACUCUCCGGAUUUUGGGUCAUCUUAAUAUCCUUUAUGUUUUAAGAGGCUUAAAAUUGACUUUUUUUGCGCAUUUUAGAUGUACAUGAAUACUUUUUUUUUGUCUGCGUUGUUAAUGCUCAAAAU